AACCCUUGAACUUAAAAAAAAAAAAAAAAAAAAGUCAUCUCUGAACCACAGGAGUUGCAAGAAGGUCAAAUGCAAAGGGAAAGAUGUCAAUAGUGCUUUUAGACAAUUUUCUUGGGAAAAAAACAUUUUGGAGAAACAUUUUCCAAAGGAAAAAAAAUCAUUCUUGAUCAUCUAUCUGCUCUAAGAAUUAGAGCAGAGUUACAAUCCUUUAGUAAAUGGAAAUGAACUUAGCUUAUAUUUGAUUUCUAUCAUUUUGGAUUUAUUUUUCAAAAUGAAGUUCUACUCAAACGUUUUUCCUAUCAUGCGUCUGCCUAGCUAGCUAGCUAGCUAGCUAUCAUCUAUCUCUAUCUUCCAGUUUUUUUUCUUGUUUUUAAAAUAUGAUAUUUGUAGGCCUCCACGUCAGGUAACUUGACUUCAUAUGCUCCUGUUCUGGUACCUGUUACCUGUAGGAAAUGGAGCCCUUCUGUUCUUUUUUCCCUGGGCUUGUCCAUCACAUCCAUGUCACAGGGAGAGUCAUUUCAUGCCCCUGGGCUUUAUCCCAAGAGUUGGCAUCUGGAUACCACUGAGUUCUGGAUUCUUCUGAAUGAAGGAAGAGCCCUAUCUCUCAUCUUCCUCAUCUCUUCCGUGAGAGUCAGGACAGGCAGCACGAGCUGAUGUAACAAACAACCCCCAAAUCUCAGCGGCUACACAGUGUCAGCUAGCAAGCUCUUCUCCAGGCAGUCACUCAUGGACCCAGGAUCCCUCCAUCCUGUGGCUCUUCCCUCCUUUUGGCCCUUGGAGUCCUUUCCAUUCAGCCACUGGCUGAAGGAGAAGGAACACAGGAGAUGAUCUAUGGGCCAGGCCCAGAUGUAGUGCACAUGGCUCCCAUCCAAUUUCCAGUGACCAGAACGCAACUCCACACCUGUCAGAAGCCUGGGGUAUAUAGAGUGAAGCUGUGUCCCCUGGCAGAAGAGUGGAACUUCAAAACUGGUAAGCAUUAGCAAUCUUGCCACAUUUACUACUUCUUCCUCCUCUUUUUGAUAUUUCCUACAUGUUCUUGUUUGUCUCUGCUAAACUUAGCUGUGUGCCUAGCUAAAGCAGCAUGGUCACCUUGAUGUAACAGAUAGUCUUAACCUCUUCUUAAGCCUCCUGGCAUCAGUUUGCCAACUUGCUGAUCCUUACUGCAGAAAAGCUGAAAUGUCAGAGAUGUUCUUUUAAGUGAGUGUGCUUACUUACUCUUGUGCUCUAUGUGACUGUAUGUAUGUGUGCAAAAUAUUUAUCCAACCCGGGCAAGAUAUAAACAUGGCUAAUUGCAGACACAGUCUAGUUUGAGAAUCCAUCUAUCUAAACAGCCAUCCAUCAGCCAUCCAUCUCUCCAUCCAUCCAUCAUCCAUCUAUCCACCCAUCCAUCCAUCCAUCCAUCCAUCCAUCCAUCCAUCCAUCCAUCCAUCCAUUUAUCCAUCCAUUUAUCCAUUUGUUCAAACAAUAAUUAAUAACCCCACUGUGCUGGACAGAAAGGGGAAAAAAGUCUAAGGCAUGCUGUCUGCCAUUGGGAAGUUUAGAAUCCAGUUGGGGAAAUGAGAACUAAAUACACAUGAAGCCAGCAAAAAUGCCAAGUCCACACACAUAGAGACAAGUAGGGAUCAUGAAGGAGCAGAGGCAGUGCGGGCAGGCUGUACAUGUACCCCAUCUCCCUAAUGCACUGAUUCAUUUUUUAGGCAAUGGCUUUCUUCCCCACCCGCUCCAUGACUUUUCCUGUCUUUAACCUCCAGUCCUUCAAAACUGGUCUUUUUCACUUUUCCCCUUCCAUCUCCUUUCUCUUGUCUUCUAGUCUCUGUUAUUUUCCCCUACUCCUCUCUCUGUGUCUCUCUCUACAUUCUUCCCUUUAGAAAGAGCACCUUGAGUUCAUGGUGGCCUCAGGGCCUUUGCACUUUCCAUUCCCCCUCUGAGGAAUGCCCUUCCUCAGGCUCUACUUAGAGCCCCUUUUCACCAUUCAGACUCACCUCUGAAGGAGCUUCCUUGACGCCCCUCACCACCCCAUCUAUAGCAGCUCCAUCCUGGUUAUUCCCUAUCCUAUCAUCCCACUGUAUUUGAGUAGUAUCCAUAACUCUCUGAAAUUAUCUUCUUUACCCACCACCCCCAAUCCCAAUUGGAAAUUCUGCAAGAAUGGAGACCAAGGUUUUUUUUUUUAAUUAAAGUACAGCUGAUUUAUAAGUUGUGCUAAUUUCUGCUGUAUAGCAAAGUGACUUUGUUAUACCCAUAUAUUUUUUAUAUUCCUUUCCAUCAUGGUCUAUCCCAAGAGACUGGGUAUAAUUCCCUGUAUCCUGAGUUCCCAGGACCUCAUUGCUUAUCCAUUCUAAAUGGAAUAGUUUGCAUCUAUUAACCCCAAACUCCCAGUCCUUCCCAUAUCCUCCUCCCUCCCCCUUGGUAACCACAAGUCUGUUCUCUAUGUCUAUGAGUCUGUAUUUAUUUUGUACAUAGGUCCAUUUUUGCCAUAUUUUAUCACAUAUAAGUGAUAUCAUACAAUAUUUGUCUUUCUCUUUCUGACUUUUUCACAUAGUAUGAGAAUCUCUAGUUUCAUCCAUGUUGCCGCAAAUGGAAUUAUUUCUUUCUUUUUUAUGGCUGAGCACUAUUCCACUGUGUAUAUAUACCACAUUUUCUUUAUCCAUUCCUCUGUCAAUGGACAUUUGGAUUGUUUCCAAGUCUUGCUAUUGUGAAUAGUGCUGCUAUGAACAAUUGUUUUGAAUUGUUUUGUCUGCAUACAUGUCUAGGAGUCGGAUUGCUGGACCAUAUGGUGGCUCUAUUUUUUGUUGUUGUUGUUUUCUGAGGAACUUCCAUACUGUUUUCCAUAGUGGUUGUGCUAACUUACAUACCUACCAUCAGCAUAGGAGGGUUCCAGAAUGGGAACCAAGUUUGACUUAUCCACAGCUGUAUCCCCCAUGCAGUAGGUACUCAGUUAAUAACCACUGAUGGAAGGGGUGGUGACAAGAAGCCCUCUCCCUUUCCCUCAGAAUCUCAUGAUGGCAUGGGGAGCAUGGCUGAGCCUUCCCUCUGCCCAUAGCCAUGCCCUCCUGGGAAUCUUGUACCCAGGUUCUGCCCCCGCCUCGCCGGAUCCCCUGGCAUCACGCCCAGAACCCAGAGCCUUUCCUUUGCUUCCUGCUUGAUGCCCUUGGUCUCCACUUUUCAGCUGAAAACCACACCACCAGGAAAUCUGCUCAGACUUGUAUCUUCCUUGGAGAGUGAAUAGAAAUGAUUCCUGAUGGAUGACAUGGGGAAAGAUAACUUUACAAUGAAGAAUCGGGGUGGACACCACCUCAGCCAAGGGACACGCCGUCAGCCCCGUCAGGAACGGGGACAGGCUGAUCUGACAUCUCUCCUGCUGUCGGUGCCACAAGGUCAACAGCCUCAAAUUCCUGCGGAAGUGUUUAUCC
RNAcentral lists this long non-coding RNA (3410 nucleotides) under Sus scrofa (pig). Its description in RNAcentral is "lncRNA (ENSSSCG00060017115.1)". The record is from RNAcentral. Lineage: Eukaryota; Metazoa; Chordata; Mammalia; Artiodactyla; Suidae.